UUGGCUGACUUGGUGAUGUGGAUGUGAUUCGUGCAUUAUUUGAGAGGGCAACAAGUUUGAGCCUGCCACCUAAAAGGAUGAAGUUCUUAUUCAAAAAGUAUGAAAGUCUGUAGGUGAUGAAGAAAGGAUUGAAUCUGUUAAGAGGAAGGCGAUGGAAUAUGUUGAGAGGUAGUCUUGCUUGAUGAGGAUGAAGAUGAAGAUGAAGAUGAGGAUGAGGUUGAGGUUGUUUCGCAUUUCAACGGGAAUCAUCCAUUGGGUACAGUCCAAAGUAUUAUGACAUCCGCUCGUUCACUCACCCACUCAAUAUUUGCAAUAGGAGGAUGAGUAGCAGCAGCACGACAGUUAGAAAUAGAUGGCAUAAAUAACUUAUAACCAUCCUCCUGUUUGUCUCAUGAUUGUGUAUGCUUUUUGUUUAAUUAAUUAUUCACUGAACGUCUUUGUUCUCUCUCUCUCUACAUUAAGGUUUCUUUUAUUUUUUAUUUUUGUUUCGGUGUCCUGAACAACACUUCAUAUAUAUAUAUAUAUACACACUAGUGGGUGAGUGUCACCCAAUAAAUGUCAUGUUAAAUCUAUAAAAUAUACAUUUUGAUUUUGAAUUAAAAA
Molecule: non-coding RNA, 603 nt
Organism: Camellia sinensis
Lineage: Eukaryota; Viridiplantae; Streptophyta; Magnoliopsida; Ericales; Theaceae
Source: RefSeq, a predicted model, not a curated record